GACGAACGCUGGCGGCGUGCCUAAUACACGCAAGUUGAGCGCUGAAGGUUGGUACUUGUACCAACUGGAUGAGCAGCGAACGGGUGAGUAACGCGUGGGGAAUCUGCCUUUGAGCGGGGGACAACAUUUGGAAACGAAUGCUAAUACCGCAUAAAAACUUUAAACACAAGUUUUAAGUUUGAAAGAUGCAAUUGCAUCACUCAAAGAUGAUCCCGCGUUGUAUUAGCUAGUUGGUGAGGUAAAGGCUCACCAAGGCGAUGAUACAUAGCCGACCUGAGAGGGGGAUCGGCCACAUUGGGACUGAGAAACGGCCCAAACUCCUACGGGAGGCAGCAGUAGGGAAUCUUCGGCAAUGGACGAAAGUCUGACCGAGCAACGCCGCGUGAGUGAAGAAGGUUUUCGGAUCGUAAAACUCUGUUGGUAGAGAAGAACGUUGGUGAGAGUGGAAAGCUCAUCAAGUGACGGUAACUACCCAGAAAGGGACGGCUAACUACGUG
RNAcentral lists this ribosomal RNA (497 nucleotides) under uncultured bacterium. Its description in RNAcentral is "partial 16S ribosomal RNA". It matches the Rfam family "Bacterial small subunit ribosomal RNA", at positions 28 to 507 of the family's 1533-position model. The record is from RNAcentral.